This 245-nucleotide ribosomal RNA is filed under the name uncultured bacterium. RNAcentral describes it as "partial 16S ribosomal RNA". It matches the Rfam family "Bacterial small subunit ribosomal RNA", at positions 15 to 209 of the family's 1533-position model. The record is from RNAcentral.
GAUCCUGGCUCAGGACGAACGCUGGCGGCGCGCCUAACACAUGCAAGUCGAACGGGAACAUACUGUUCACUGAGUGGUAGAGCGAAGCCGAAAGGGAAGUUCUACUGCUGAGAGAACGGUAUGUUUUAGUGGCGGACGGGUGAGUAACACGUGAGCAACCUGCCUUACAGAGGGGGAUAACGUCUGGAAACGGACGCUAAUACCGCAUAAGAUCGUAGGACCGCAUGGUCCAGCGACCAAAGGAG